RNAcentral lists this ribosomal RNA (500 nucleotides) under uncultured bacterium. RNAcentral's name for it is "partial 16S ribosomal RNA". It matches the Rfam family "Bacterial small subunit ribosomal RNA", at positions 30 to 523 of the family's 1533-position model. The record is from RNAcentral.
AUUGAACGCUGGCGGCAUGCCUUACACAUGCAAGUCGAACGGCAGCACGGGAGCAAUCCUGGUGGCGAGUGGCGAACGGGUGAGUAAUAUAUCGGAACGUGCCCAGUCGUGGGGGAUAACGUAGCGAAAGCUACGCUAAUACCGCAUACGAUCUAUGGAUGAAAGCGGGGGAUCGCAAGACCUCGCGCGAUUGGAGCGGCCGAUAUCAGAUUAGGUAGUUGGUGAGGUAAAGGCUCACCAAGCCGACGAUCUGUAGCUGGUCUGAGAGGACGAGCAGCCACACUGGGACUGAGACACGGCCCAGACUCCUACGGGAGGCAGCAGUGGGGAAUUUUGGACAAUGGGCGCAAGCCUGAUCCAGCAAUGCCGCGUGCAGGAUGAAGGCCUUCGGGUUGUAAACUGCUUUUGUACGGAACGAAACGGCGAGCUCUAAUACAGUUUGCUAAUGACGGUACCGUAAGAAUAAGCACCGGCUAACUACGUGCCAGCAGCCGCCGCAG